AGUGGCGAACGGGUGAGGAACACGUGAGAAAUUUGCCCCGAACUUUGGGAUAACAGUUGGAAACGACUGCUAAUACCGAAUGCCGUUACGAAGUGGCAUCACUUUGUAACGAAAGAAUUUCGGUUCGGGAGAAUCUCGCGGCCUAUCAGCUUGUUGGUGAGGUAAUGGCUCACCAAGGCUACGACGGGUAGCUGGUCUGAGAGGAUGAUCAGCCACACUGGGACUGAGACACGGCCCAGACUCCUACGGGAGGCAGCAGUGGGGAAUCUUGUGCAAUGGACGAAAGUCUGACACAGCCACGCCGCGUGCGGGAAGAAGGCCUUCGGGUUGUAAACCGCUUUCAGCAGGAACGAAAAUGACGGUACCUGCAGAAGAAGGAGCGGCCAACUACGUGCCAGCAGCCGCGGUGACACGUAGGCUCCAAGCGUUGUCCGGAUUUAUUGGGCGUAAAGAGCUCGUAGGCGGUUCAGCAAGUCGGGUGUGAAAACUCUGGGCUCAACCCAGAGCCUGCACCCGAAACUGCUGUGACUAGAGUUCGGUAGGGGAGUGGGGAAUUCCUAGUGUAGCGGUGAAAUGCGCAGAUAUUAGGAGGAACACCGAUGGCGAAGGCACCACUCUGGGCCGAAACUGACGCUGAGGAGCGAAAGCGUGGGUAGCAAACAGGAUUAGAUACCCUGGUAGUCCACGCCGUAAACGAUGGGCACUAGGUGUGGGUCUCUAACCAACGAGAUCCGCGCCGUCGCUAACGCAUUAAGUGCCCCGCCUGGGG
This 769-nucleotide ribosomal RNA is filed under the name uncultured bacterium. RNAcentral describes it as "bacterial SSU rRNA". It matches the Rfam family "Bacterial small subunit ribosomal RNA", at positions 94 to 878 of the family's 1533-position model. The record is from RNAcentral.